UCCCUACGGGGGGCAGCAGUGGGGGAUAUUGCACAAUGGGGGGAACCCUGAUGCAGCGACGCCGCGUGAACGAAGAAAUAUUUCGGUAUGUAAAGUUCUAUCAGCAGGGAAGAAAAUGACAGUACCUGACCAAGAAGCCCCGGCUAACUACGUGCCAGCAGCCGCGGUAAUACGUAGGGGGCGAGCGUUAUCCGGAUUCACUGGGCGUAAAGGGAGCGCAGGCGGCACGGCAAGUCCGGUGUGAAAGCCCGGGGCCCAACCCCGGGACUGCUCUUGGAACUGCGUGGCUAGAGUGCAGGAGGGGC
Molecule: ribosomal RNA, 305 nt
Filed under: uncultured bacterium
Lineage: Bacteria
Description: bacterial SSU rRNA
Rfam family: Bacterial small subunit ribosomal RNA
Source: RNAcentral